This 256-nucleotide ribosomal RNA is filed under the name uncultured bacterium. RNAcentral's name for it is "partial 16S ribosomal RNA". It matches the Rfam family "Bacterial small subunit ribosomal RNA", at positions 521 to 776 of the family's 1533-position model. The record is from RNAcentral.
UAAUACGAAGGGGGCUAGCGUUGUUCGGAAUUACUGGGCGUAAAGCGCACGUAGGCGGCUUUCCAAGUUGGAGGUGAAAUCCCUGGGCUUAACCUAGGAACUGCCUCCAAGACUGGGAAGCUCGAGUCCGAGAGAGGUGAGUGGAAUUUCCAGUGUAGAGGUGAAAUUCGUAGAUAUUGGAAAGAACACCAGUGGCGAAGGCGGCUCACUGGCUCGGUACUGACGCUGAGGUGCGACAGCGUGGGGAGCAAACAGG